This 500-nucleotide ribosomal RNA is filed under the name uncultured bacterium. RNAcentral's name for it is "partial 16S ribosomal RNA". It matches the Rfam family "Bacterial small subunit ribosomal RNA", at positions 30 to 523 of the family's 1533-position model. The record is from RNAcentral.
AUUGAACGCUGGCGGAAUGCUUUACACAUGCAAGUCGAACGGCAGCACGGGGGCAACCCUGGUGGCGAGUGGCGAACGGGUGAGUAAUACAUCGGAACGUGCCCAGUCGUGGGGGAUAACGUAGCGAAAGUUACGCUAAUACCGCAUACGAUCUACGGAUGAAAGCGGGGGACCGUAAGGCCUCGCGCGAUUGGAGCGGCCGAUGUCAGAUUAGGUAGUUGGUGAGGUAAAGGCUCACCAAGCCGACGAUCUGUAGCUGGUCUGAGAGGACGACCAGCCACACUGGGGAUGGGAAACGGCCCAGACUCCUACGGGAGGCAGCAGUGGGGAAUUUUGGACAAUGGGCGCAAGCCUGAUCCAGCCAUUCCGCGUGCAGGACGAAGGCCUUCGGGUUGUAAACUGCUUUUGUACGGAACGAAAAGGCUCUGGUUAAUACCUGGGGCUCAUGACGGUACCGUAAGAAUAAGCACCGGCUAACUACGUGCCAGCCGCCGCAGUAA